UAAGAUUUUAAGUUAAUUAAACUAACAUCCUUCAAAGUUGUCAAAAAAAGUAAAAAUCUUUUAAAUCUU
This 69-nucleotide transfer RNA is filed under the name Gramastacus lacus. RNAcentral's name for it is "tRNA-Trp". Lineage: Eukaryota; Metazoa; Arthropoda; Malacostraca; Decapoda; Parastacidae. The record is from RNAcentral.